This is a non-coding RNA of Triticum aestivum (bread wheat), 115 nucleotides long. The record is from Rfam. Lineage: Eukaryota; Viridiplantae; Streptophyta; Magnoliopsida; Poales; Poaceae.
CUAGUACUCCCUCCGUUCGGAAUUACUUGUCUCGGAAAUGGAUGUAUCUAGAACUAAAAUACGUCUAGAUACAUCCAUUUCUACGACAAGUAAUUCCGAAUGGAGGGAGUAGUUC